This 224-nucleotide ribosomal RNA is filed under the name uncultured Pseudomonas sp. RNAcentral describes it as "partial 16S ribosomal RNA". It matches the Rfam family "Bacterial small subunit ribosomal RNA", at positions 1159 to 1382 of the family's 1533-position model. The record is from RNAcentral. Lineage: Bacteria; Pseudomonadati; Pseudomonadota; Gammaproteobacteria; Pseudomonadales; Pseudomonadaceae.
AAGACCGGAGGAAGGUGGGGAUGACGUCAAGUCAUCAUGGCCCUUACGGCCUGGGCUACACACGUGCUACAAUGGUCGGUACAAAGGGUUGCCAAGCCGCGAGGUGGAGCUAAUCCCAUAAAACCGAUCGUAGUCCGGAUCGCAGUCUGCAACUCGACUGCGUGAAGUCGGAAUCGCUAGUAAUCGUGAAUCAGAAUGUCACGGUGAAUACGUUCCCGGGCCUU